RNAcentral lists this ribosomal RNA (161 nucleotides) under Paenibacillus sp. 10c. Its description in RNAcentral is "partial 16S ribosomal RNA". It matches the Rfam family "Bacterial small subunit ribosomal RNA", at positions 355 to 508 of the family's 1533-position model. Lineage: Bacteria; Bacillati; Bacillota; Bacilli; Caryophanales; Paenibacillaceae. The record is from RNAcentral.
UAGGGAAUCUUCCGCAAUGGGCGAAAGCCUGACGGAGCAAUGCCGCGUGAGUGAUGAAGGUUUUCGGAUCGUAAAGCUCUGUUGCCAGGGAAGAACGCUUGGGAGAGUAACUGCUCUCAAGGUGACGGUACCUGAGAAGAAAGCCCCGGCUAACUACGUUG